CUAACUAGCCAGCUGCUAAAAUCAGUUAUAAUAUCUGUUCUUAUGACCAAAAUAGCUGAUAAUGUCCUCUCUCUGAGGACAGCAUAUAACAUGGAUUUUCAGAGCAGGGAUAUGAUAUAAGAACUUGCUCCAUCCACUUUACUCACUGACCUGGUAUUGCAGAACCUCCAGGAAUAUUAAAUCCCUC
Small nuclear RNA from Jaculus jaculus (lesser Egyptian jerboa), 187 nucleotides. Its record names the gene U2. It matches the Rfam family "U2 spliceosomal RNA". From Rfam's summary of the family: U2 is a small nuclear RNA (snRNA) component of the spliceosome (involved in pre-mRNA splicing). Complementary binding between U2 snRNA (in an area lying towards the 5' end but 3' to hairpin I) and the branchpoint sequence (BPS) of the intron results the bulging out of an unpaired adenosine, on the BPS, which initiates a nucleophilic attack at the intronic 5' splice site, thus starting the first of two transesterification reactions that mediate splicing. NCBI's taxonomy places the organism in Eukaryota, Metazoa, Chordata, Mammalia, Rodentia, Dipodidae. The record is from Ensembl.